CUUAUCUUCUUCAUUCUUCUCAUCUCAAAUCAAAUCAAAUCUCUAAUCUAAUUCAAGGAAUUCUACCAACACCAACAAGAAUAAUAAUCUUUCACUAUGUUAGAAAUUCAAAAGUUAGGGUUGAGAAGUGUGUGUGUGUGCGUGGCCGAAAAUCUCAAGAGAAAGGAGAAGGAAAAGAAUUUAUAAUUUAAAUUCUUGUAAUUGUUCUUGAAAUCCUUAAGGUUGCAAGCAAAAUAAUGUGUGUUCUUGUGGUCAUCAUGGACUUGAUUGUUCGUCAUUAAGGUGGUUCCGGAACAGAAAACUAGUUGCUAGUUGAUUGAAGUUGUUGAUUUUGGAAGUUGCUAGACUUGUGAAGGUAUUUGACCAUCCAUGGAAGAAUGGUACUUUUGUUAGAACAUAGUUCAUCCCACCUCAUGAAGGCUUUUGGUAUAAAUUUUGCAUUUUGAAACUUGUUAGUUAUGGUGUAAAAUUUUGAAUUUGGUAACUUGAUCUUAUAAGUACUAUGUGAAAAGUGUUUUGGAAACCUGGACAAAAUGGGUAAAUGACCCAUUUGGUUAUGAACAUGAAAAGUUGGUUAUGUCUUUAUGAAUUGAAACUUUCAUUAUUUUGAGUUAUGUGUCUUUAGUCCAUUUUUGAAGUAUGAAAGUUAUUGGUGAAA
This is a long non-coding RNA of Erigeron canadensis, 658 nucleotides long. RefSeq lists it as uncharacterized. NCBI's taxonomy places the organism in Eukaryota, Viridiplantae, Streptophyta, Magnoliopsida, Asterales, Asteraceae. The transcript is spliced from 3 exons. The record is from RefSeq and is a predicted model, not a curated record.